Molecule: ribosomal RNA, 498 nt
Filed under: uncultured bacterium
Lineage: Bacteria
Description: partial 16S ribosomal RNA
Rfam family: Bacterial small subunit ribosomal RNA
Source: RNAcentral
GACGAACGCUGGCGGCGUGCCUAAUACAUGCAAGUCGAGCGGACGGAUGGGAGCUUGCUCCCAGACCGUCAGCGGCGGACGGGUGAGUAACACGUGGGCAACCUGCCUGUAAGACUGGGAUAACUCCGGGAAACCGGGGCUAAUACCGGAUAACUCUUUCCCUCACAUGAGGGAAAGCUGAAAGAUGGCAUCUCGCUAUCGCUUACAGAUGGGCCCGCGGCGCAUUAGCUAGUUGGUGAGGUAACGGCUCACCAAGGCGACGAUGCGUAGCCGACCUGAGAGGGUGAUCGGCCACACUGGGACUGAGACACGGCCCAGACUCCUACGGGAGGCAGCAGUAGGGAAUCUUCCGCAAUGGACGAAAGUCUGACGGAGCAACGCCGCGUGAGUGAUGAAGGUUUUCGGAUCGUAAAACUCUGUUGUCAGGGAAGAACAAGUACCGGAGUAACUGCCGGUACCUUGACGGUACCUGACCAGAAAGCCACGGCUAACUACGUG